RNAcentral lists this ribosomal RNA (382 nucleotides) under uncultured bacterium. Its description in RNAcentral is "bacterial SSU rRNA". It matches the Rfam family "Bacterial small subunit ribosomal RNA", at positions 28 to 418 of the family's 1533-position model. The record is from RNAcentral.
GAUGAACGCUGGCGGCGUGCCUAACACAUGCAAGUCGAGCGAUUCUCUUCGGAGAAGAGCGGCGGACGGGUGAGUAACGCGUGGGUAACCUGCCCUGUACACACGGAUAACAUACCGAAAGGUAUGCUAAUACGAGAUAAUAUGCUUUUAUCGCAUGGUAGAAGUAUCAAAGCUCCGGCGGUACAGGAUGGACCCGCGUCUGAUUAGCUAGUUGGUAAGGUAACGGCUUACCAAGGCGACGAUCAGUAGCCGACCUGAGAGGGUGAUCGGCCACAUUGGAACUGAGACACGGUCCAAACUCCUACGGGAGGCAGCAGUGGGGAAUAUUGCACAAUGGGCGAAAGACCUGAUGCAGCAACGCCGCGUGAGCGAUGAAGGCCUC